GGAGAUUGAAACAAUGUCAAAUGAUUGUGAAUCCAAGCCUGUACAUUCACCAUUUGCGUGUAUCCACUGGAAUGAGUUUGAUCUCUGAGGACUUGCUUUUUCUUUAUAUUUAGCCACAGCUAGGAAGUAUGGUGAUAGAUCCAGACCCUUUUGGUAUCAGGAAACUUAUCAGCAAGAAAUCUUGUGCUAACACCUACAGAGCAUCCAAUAUCAAGAAUGUCUCUGAUUUUCAAGUUCCCUGAAUACUGUUGAUGAUGUUGCUCAAUAGCAUUGAGCCAGUUUCCCCGAACUAUUUCAUUUGCUUCCUCAAGUGACGAAGCAUCAGGUAUAGCCCGUCUCACCAUUGACAUCGUUGCAGCCUCAGCUUCU
This 369-nucleotide long non-coding RNA is filed under the name Helianthus annuus (common sunflower). RNAcentral's name for it is "sRNA HanXRQr2_Chr17g0814641". The record is from RNAcentral. Lineage: Eukaryota; Viridiplantae; Streptophyta; Magnoliopsida; Asterales; Asteraceae.